RNAcentral lists this long non-coding RNA (2224 nucleotides) under Homo sapiens (human). RNAcentral describes it as "long non-coding RNA NONHSAT208134.1". Lineage: Eukaryota; Metazoa; Chordata; Mammalia; Primates; Hominidae. The record is from RNAcentral.
GAAAUCUAGCUACAAUAAGGAUUCAGAGAAGGGGGACAAUUUAAAGCUAGCAUUUUUCAAAGAAGAGUCUGAAGAAAAAAUGCUAUUCAUGCAGGGUUGUGAAAUCUGGAUUGGGUUUGAAUAGUUGAGAUGAAGAAGGGAGCUAUUAAAGCUGAAAAGAGUAAAGAAGCAAAGGUGAGUAGACGUCAACGAGUAACAGUGAAGACCUAGCCGUGCCUGGAGUAAAUUAAGGUGAUCUAUGUCUCCGGCUUUCCAAGACUUUAGCUGCAGUCUCACUAGCCAGAGCUGUCUCAUUACAGGAGAUGUGGUCCAGUCUGUGAAAUGUUUAUUUUGUAACUAACCCCUCUAGCAGUGGAGGGAACUGUUUACUAUUCCUUCUUGUUCUCUAGUGUGUGUAUGUGUGGUUUUUUUUUUCUCUUAAUUAAAGAAUCACUGUUGAACUUCAGAAACCUCUCCAGGAAGAAAAAAAUAAAAAGAAGGAAAAAAGAGAGAGAGAGAAAGAACAGAGGGAAGAAAAAGAGAGAAAGAGAAGAGAAAAUAGGGUUGAAAACUGUGUCUUUUGCUCAUUCAUUCUUAAGGAUUAUUUCCAGAAGAAGAAUUGUAAUAUUCAUUGACCUCCCCAGGAGUGUGUGUACAUGAAAAUGUGUGCGAAUGUUUGUGUGCAGGCCCGAGUAGGAAACAGUGCUAUGUAAACAGUGUCAAUGUAUCUAUCCCACCAACUAACAUUCAAAGUUUUCUUUGUUAAUGAUAUUCUGAAGGAGAAUAAAAGAUGGAACCUGAUUCUAUCCCAUACAAACAAAAAUUACACAAGCCAGUAGGAAAAUCUAAAUUCUGAAUUUGGUUGGAUUUCAUUUGAGCUUGCAAAAUUAUUAGGCAAUGGCAUACUGUUUGAAGGGAAUGUUUGUCUUUUCAUUCUAGCCAGCAGCAAAUAAUCCCAAAGGAGGUAAACAUCUAAAAGAAAGGAAUGAAAACAGGUUUUAUUUAUAAAUGCCUCACUGUUGGAACCUGCAUGAAUGAAAGCUGAAUCUCAAAGAUCAGACACGUUGGACUUGGAAUAAUGUCCAUGUUAUGAUUCCAAUCUGUGCCUAAAUCUGAACCACUCAGUUCUUCAUGCUUGUUGGAAUCCUCCUAAAAUUGGAAUUUCCUGGGAGAUAUCCAGUACUUUUUGGGCUGUAAACAGCAAAACAAACAGCCUUUCUUGUAAUAUGCUACGUCUAGUGCUAACUGAAUUCAAGAAGUUUAUGAGUGUGGGGAAAGUAACUUGAUGUCUUUGCAAACUUACAAAUUUGCUUCAGUUUAAAUUUUGACCAAAAAUUCAUCUCAGGAAUAUGUUUUGGAAUAAUUCUUUGCUAUUAGUUAUAAAUGUGACAAAUAUCGUUUAAACAAUAAAAUAUUAUUUUAUACAACAAAUUAUGGCAACAAAUUCCUUGUAGUGAUAGAUUUUUUAAAAUCUUUAAAUCAUAGAUAGGGAUUUAUUAUGCUCCAUGUCAAUUAUAUGCAUGUUUGUGUGUAUAUGUGUGUAUAUGUGUGUGUAUAUAUAUUUCACUUAAUCUCUGAGAACAGUCUGAAUUUUUAUGUUUCUCUAUUGUAUAUAAUUGAAAAACAUAAGACAAAGAAAUCACUUAUUAGUACGUUGAUAGAUAAACGUGCUUGAUGCCAAAUAUAGACACACAAAAUACACUUAAUUCUUCUGUAAGAACUCUUAAACAUCUAUGAGAAACAUCUUAUCAAAUUGAUUUCCCCCUUUCUCCUUAGUAAAAAAAUCCUGACGUUUUUAGGUUGACACAAUGCCACUCAGCUAAACAAUGACAUUUCCCAGACUCCUUUGUGUUUAAGUGUGGCCGUAUAACUAGGUUGUGCCCAAAGACAAUUAAGUAUAACUGUUGGGUAUAAUUUUUCUGAAAAGUCUCCUUAAAAAUAUGACGGUUUUUCCUUGCUUUCUUUUUUUCCUUGUUAUUUAGAGUACGAGUAUUGUAUCUGUAGCUCCAGCAGCCAUCUUGGACCAGAAUAUGAUGGUCUGGAGAAUGUAAGCCAUGUGCAGAAUGAUACUUACAGACAAGGGACUGUGUACUUCAUUGAACCGUAAAGCUGCCAUAGUUGCCUUGGAUACUCUCCUUGUGGACACCUUUUCCUGUAUAAACUCACUUGGUCCUCCACAGUAAACUACAAACAUUUUUCUUUGCCGUUAUCUGCCUUCUUGCUCCCUUUUGUGAAGUGUGGUCCC